This 484-nucleotide ribosomal RNA is filed under the name uncultured bacterium. RNAcentral's name for it is "partial 16S ribosomal RNA". It matches the Rfam family "Bacterial small subunit ribosomal RNA", at positions 28 to 507 of the family's 1533-position model. The record is from RNAcentral.
GUUGAACGCUGGCGGCGUGCUUAAUACAUGCAAGUCGAACGGCAGCACGGGGGCAUCGCUGGUGGCGCGUGGCGGACGGGUGGGUGAUACACCGGAAGGUGCCCGGCCGAUGGGGAUGACAUAACGACGGGUACGCGGAUACCACAUACGAUCAGAGGUUGGAAGCGGGGGACCUUUAGGGCUCGCCCGUUUUGAGGUCCCGUUGUGAGAUUAGCUAGUUGGUUGGGUAAGGGCUUACCAAGCCGACGAUCUGUAGCAGGUCUGAGAGGACGACCGGCCACACUGGAACUGAGACACGGCCCAGACUCCUACGGGAGGCAGCAGUGGGGAAUCUUCGGCAAUGGGCGAAAGCCUGACGCAGCCACUCCGCGUGCGGGACGAAGGCCUUCGGGUUGUAAAAUGCUUUUGUAAGGAAAGAAAAGGCUCGGGCUAAUCCCUGCGGGUCAUGACGGUACCGAAAGAGUAAGCACCGGCUAACUACGUG